CCCCAGCCCAGGCCCAGAGGUCUGUCGGAUGGUUUCUGGUUUCUGGCGUCUGUCCGGAGGGCACAAGAAGCCUUCUGGUCCGCGGAAAGGAUGGGCAGUUACCACAGACCUUCCGGAGACCUUCCAAGAGCAGUGCUUAAAUUAGACAACUUCCAAGCCUUCAGUGCCCCUGCUGUAAGACUGAAUCCUCCAGAAUUCUAGAGCUUCGCUGAGAAUAAUCCAAAGUGUCUAUGACUUUUAUUCUGCUGGUCACGGAUGUAGGACACAUCAAAGCUUUCAUCUCAGAUGCUUCUCCAGAUGUAACAUGAGGUCUACACCAUUCUCCAGCACCGUCACCCUGGAUGGAAAGGUUUCUACAUAAUAGCCUUCAGGGAUCGGAAACAUGAACCACGUUCAAGCAGUAGUGCCCUGUUUUUGCAAACGAAGAUACUAAACACAAGAGGGACUAAGAGAUUGGCCAAGAUCAUAGAGGGACAUGCAUCCAGCUAACCCAAUUGAUCUUGUUUGCUUUUCUGUUUACUGUGAUUAAAAAAAAAAACCCUUCUGA
Myodes glareolus (Bank vole) is the source of this 547-nucleotide non-coding RNA. The record is from RefSeq and is a predicted model, not a curated record. Lineage: Eukaryota; Metazoa; Chordata; Mammalia; Rodentia; Cricetidae.